RNAcentral lists this ribosomal RNA (737 nucleotides) under uncultured bacterium. RNAcentral describes it as "bacterial SSU rRNA". It matches the Rfam family "Bacterial small subunit ribosomal RNA", at positions 8 to 796 of the family's 1533-position model. The record is from RNAcentral.
AGAGUUUGAUCCUGGCUCAGAACGAACGCUGGCGGCAGGCCUAACACAUGCAAGUCGAGCGCCCGCAAGGGAGCGGCAGACGGGUGAGUAACGCGUGGGAACGUGCCCUUUGGUUCGGAAUAUUCCCGGGAAACUGGGAGCAAAACCGGAUAAGCCCUUCGGGGGAAAGUUUACGCCAAAGGAUCGGCCCGCGUUAGAUUAGGUAGUUGGUGGGGUAACGGCCUACCAAGCCUACGAUCUAUAGCUGAUCUGAGAGGAUGAUCAGCCACACUGGGACUGAGACACGACCCAGACUCCUACGGGAGGCAGCAGUGGGGAAUCUUGGACAAUGGGCGCAAGCCUGAUCCAGCCAUGCCGCGUGGAUGACUGAAGGCCCUAGGGUUGUAAAGUCCUUUCGACGGGGACGAUAAUGACGGUACCCGUAGAAGAAGCCCCGGCUAACUUCGUGCCAGCAGCCGCGAUAAUACGAAGGGGGCUAGCGUUGUUCGGAUUUACUGGGCGUAAAGGGCGCGUAGGCGGAUUUUUAAGUCGGGGGUGAAAUCCCGGAGCACAACUCCGGAACUGCCUUCGAUACUGGAAGUCUGGAGCACGGUAGAGGUGAGUGGAAUUCCGAGUGUAGAGGUGAAAUUCGUAGAUAUUCGGAGGGACACCAGUGGCGAAGGCGGCUCACUGGACCGUUGCUGACGCUGAGGCGCGAAAGCGUGGGGAGCAAACAGGAUUAGAUACCCUGGUAGUCC